Molecule: long non-coding RNA, 535 nt
Organism: Hemicordylus capensis (graceful crag lizard)
Lineage: Eukaryota; Metazoa; Chordata; Lepidosauria; Squamata; Cordylidae
Exons: 3
Source: RefSeq, a predicted model, not a curated record
GCUGUUAUCAUUCCGAUCUAGAAUAAACACCCUCAUUGUGACAUUGCUGCUGAGAGGGGGAGACCCCCCAUCCUGGGCCUUCACUUGCAGCUGAAACUCUCUGAAUUGUUCAUAGUCAAAGGAUCGCUGGGCAUAGAUGACACCAGUCUCAGAGUUAAUAGAAAUAGUGAAGUACUGAUUGGAGCUAAGCUGGUAAUUCUGGAGAGAAUUCAGCCCAGUAUCAGGAUCUUCUGCUUUUCCAAGGAGGAAUCUGGUUCCUGAACAUGGCAGUUUUCUUUUCCUUUUUUCAGCAAGUUUGCUCCGUCCUUGCUUUCUGUUCUUUGUCCGUUCUGUACCGCACUGAAGAUGCAAUCACCCUGUAAGGAGCAUCAGUGGAUUUCCAUCUCCCUGGCUACCAUGUUGGCUAACAGUGACACUCUGAGGCUCAAAAGAGAAAUGCAAGUGAUUCUUUCAUUUAAGAUUAUGAAUAGUUUGAUGUGGUUGUAUGCUGUCGUGUGUAAUCAAAUGUGUUAAGAAAAUAAAUGAUUUAACAUCA